CUAAUGUUUUGCUUUCGCUGUAAAGCCUUUUUGAAAUCGGACAAUGUGGUUAGAUAAAGGAGAGUCUUAUCUUUAAAAUGGUGUAAAAUAGUUGAUUGUUUGAGAAAAUUGAAUUGUGGUAUUUUAGUUGGUUUUGUAUUUCGCGCCGUGCGAUGCCAUUGGCUGUUGGCUAGGGGUUCCGCAAGCGGGACGUCUGUCCUCAACAGGUUAAUCCAAUCCCCUAACACUAAUUCCAAACCUGGGAAGAGUGCCAAUCCGAAUAGUUCCCCAUUGCUACGAGAAAAUCCACUAGCCAAGCCAUUAUCUGCCAUUGCUCGUUUCACACAGCUACUGCGGUGUGCUGUGGUGUUAUGCUUAGCUUCCAAUAGGGUCAGCAGGGGUAUGAUUGCAACUUUAAUUUGAGUUUGGCCUAAAUAACAGCAACCAUCCCACCCAUUAGGUAAUUGUAGGUAGCCAUUUUCACUGCAAACCCACAUAACACCAUAAAGAGCCCCCAAUCCAGACCCUAUAACGGAUAUGGGUAUUCCAGUUAUAGAGUCAGAGAAGGUUGUCUGAAAGGCCCAUGGUAAUACUACCUCUACCACAAAGACAAAGUUGGGGUUCGGUUACAGGUCUCAAAUUGUUCAAGACAGGUUCUAUCUUAUUUCCAAAUGACAAAGGCAGUGGAUGAACAGGAUAUUUAGGACAUUCAAUAGCAGAGGAGGCAUACUUACUACCCCUAAACAUAAGGGCAGAUCCUAGACUAAGGUUCUUGAUGGACCCAUUCCUGGGGUGUAUAUUUCUCAUUUGGGCACAUGGAUUGGUAAGCUGACUAGAAACCUUAUGAGAGCCAAUAGUUUGGUUAAUCGUGAUGGAAUACUCUCUGGAGACAAAUAAUUGGACGCAUCUGGGUUGAUUCCUAGCUGUCUUAUCUUGUUGGAGGAUGCAUGAGAGGACACUGCAUGCGGUAGGCGUACUUAGCAAUGGGACUACAAUUGAUCCAAACAAUUCACUCUGAGGGUUUUUUAAGAUGACUACUUACCAACCACGAGGCGUGGCUUUUCGGCUCACGUUCUGGACCAUUCUUACCUAUUGGUUACUGGUUUUCAAUUGAUUCCCUUGGAUCUCUAUUCCCCCCAACAAAGGCUGCUGGUGGAUGAUCAAAGGUUUACCCCAAGUUUGUUUUUAACAAUGUGACCAUAGUGGUCAUGUGCAACAACAUCUGGGUCUGGGUGUGCAUUAUUAUCUGUUAUGAUGGUUGGGAUGUCUUCUGGCAG
This 1256-nucleotide long non-coding RNA is filed under the name Salmo salar (Atlantic salmon). RNAcentral describes it as "lncRNA (ENSSSAG00000112508.1)". Lineage: Eukaryota; Metazoa; Chordata; Actinopteri; Salmoniformes; Salmonidae. The record is from RNAcentral.